AAAAGAGAAAAGUUAAAACCUAAGGCAUCAAAAGAAGCAGGUGGAGUCUUGUGUUUCCUUUUUCUCCAGGCUGAACUCCUGAUAGCCACAGGAGGGACCCCACAGCUGCAGCAGCCCAAGCUAUUCUCGGCUUUGCUGCGUCACUUCCUGAGCUGCUGCCUGCAGAAAAACGAGGAGCGGCGCUGGUCUGCCAAGGAGCUCCUGCAGCAUCCAUUUGUAACAUCAGCCAAGCCUGUGUCCAUCCUGCUGCCACUGAUCCAGUCAGUGAAGAAGUGGAAGGAGGAGGAGAAAAGAUGGCAGUGGCAAUCCAUCCAUUCAGGACUAUUUUCUUCAUGACCAGUUUAGAUUAGGAUUGUAGAGUACAAUUGUACUCUACAUGGAUGGCAAAUAAAUAAAGUUUCUGGAACCCCAA
This is a long non-coding RNA of Corvus hawaiiensis (hawaiian crow), 412 nucleotides long. RefSeq lists it as uncharacterized. NCBI's taxonomy places the organism in Eukaryota, Metazoa, Chordata, Aves, Passeriformes, Corvidae. The record is from RefSeq and is a predicted model, not a curated record. The transcript has 2 exons.